RNAcentral lists this ribosomal RNA (449 nucleotides) under uncultured bacterium. RNAcentral's name for it is "partial 16S ribosomal RNA". It matches the Rfam family "Bacterial small subunit ribosomal RNA", at positions 29 to 523 of the family's 1533-position model. The record is from RNAcentral.
AGCGAACGCUGGCGGCAGGCCUAACACAUGCAAGUCGAACGGACCCUUCGGGGUUAGUGGCGGACGGGUGAGUAACACGUGGGAACGUGCCUUUAGGUUCGGAAUAGCUCCUGGAAACGGGUGGUAAUGCCGAAUGUGCCCUUCGGGGGAAAGAUUUAUCGCCUUUAGAGCGGCCCGCGUCUGAUUAGCUAGUUGGUGAGGUAAUGGCUCACCAAGGCGACGAUCAGUAGCUGGUCUGAGAGGAUGACCAGCCACACUGGGACUGAGACACGGCACAGACUCCUGCGGGAGGCAGCAGUGGGGAAUCUUGCGCAAUGGGCGAAAGCCUGACGCAGCCAUGCCGCGUGAAUGAUGAAGGUCUUAGGAUUGUAAAAUUCUUUCACCGGGGACGAUAAUGACGGUACCCGGAGAGGAAGCCCCGGCUAACUUCGUGCCAGCCGCCGCCGUAA